CAGGAACAAGUCUGUGGAUCUUGAGAAGUGAAGUACACAGGAGAUAACAAGCAGCACUCCCUCCCAGAGCCUGGACUCAGGGCAUGGGAACUGUGGGCCAAACCUGCAGACAGACGGUGACUAUUGAUGACCCCAGAGGCCUCCAAGGAGAAAUGCACCAGUGGAACAGAGCAGUGGACACACUGGACUGCAGCACUGGUCUCAGCCCUUUUGCCAAAUGGGCUCAUAAAGUGCCUGCAGAAGACUGGUGCAACCACUAUGGAAAUCAAUAUGGAGAUACCUCAAAAAACUAGGAUUGGGG
Heterocephalus glaber (naked mole-rat) is the source of this 301-nucleotide long non-coding RNA. Lineage: Eukaryota; Metazoa; Chordata; Mammalia; Rodentia; Bathyergidae. The record is from Ensembl.